Molecule: long non-coding RNA, 750 nt
Filed under: Bos indicus x Bos taurus (hybrid cattle)
Lineage: Eukaryota; Metazoa; Chordata; Mammalia; Artiodactyla; Bovidae
Description: lncRNA (ENSBIXG00000017812.1)
Source: RNAcentral
CAGGGUCAAUCACAGGAUGUCUGAUUCCUCAGAACUUACUUUUUCUAUCAAUCUAUUUCUCUUUUCUAGGUUUGGGACAAGACACUAUAUCAGAUUAUUUGAAAAGUCAAUACAAGGAAGCACUGAAAGAAGUGAGAGGGCCCAAAGGCAACAAUACCCAGUAGCAACAAGCAAACCCAGACCCUGUCAGCUGCACAGUUCCAACAGCAGUCAAAGUGGAUCUACAGCUCCAAACCCCAUUCCUUCUGGAUUUUCGUGCUGGCCGCCAACCAAGAACUGGCUCCAGCUGGUGGGAAGGAGGUGGUAUCUAACUCCAGUUUUUGUUGGCCCCCAUUCUGGAGGAGGAACUGAAAGCUCGGAUUCAUGGAGCUCAAUUUCUGACCGCACCGCAUCUGACGACGUCCUCACUCAUUGACAUUUCAGGUGAGCGACCCCUAAAUACUCUUUCAUGUUGAAGUCACUUUGACUUGGAGGUUCUGUUUCAUUCAAAAAUGUGCUAUCCGACACAAAUAAUUGCUUUUAUUAGGGAUAUAAACCUAAAUAUUUAAGUAGAUUAAAAAAAAAAACCUUCACAAGAAACUAAAAGAAACAAACAAAGCCCCCACGGAAUUAUCCAGAGAACAUUCCAAUGUCCAGAGAACAUUUGCAGACAAAUUUGAAUCUCUGACUUAAGUGAAAAAAAAAAAAGUAAAAUACACCUAGACCGUGGUAGAUUCGUUUGUUUUACACGUGAAGGUAAUCAAGACUGUG